RNAcentral lists this ribosomal RNA (440 nucleotides) under uncultured bacterium. Its description in RNAcentral is "partial 16S ribosomal RNA". It matches the Rfam family "Bacterial small subunit ribosomal RNA", at positions 338 to 795 of the family's 1533-position model. The record is from RNAcentral.
CCUACGGGGGGCAGCAGUGGGGAAUAUUGCACAAUGGGGGAAACCCUGAUGCAGCGACGCCGCGUGAGUGAAGAAGUAUCUCGGUAUGUAAAGCUCUAUCAGCAGGGAAGCUAAUGACGGUACCUGACCAAGAAGCCCCGGCUAACUACGUGCCAGCAGCCGCGGUAAUACGUAGGGGGCAAGCGUUAUCCGGAUUUACUGGGUGUAAAGGGAGCGUAGACGGCAGCACAAGUCUGGAGUGAAAUCCCGGGGCUUAACCCCGGAACUGCUUUGGAAACCGUGCGGCUGGAGUGUAGGCGGGGUAAGCGGAAUUCCUAGUGUAGCGGUGAAAUGCGUAGAGAUUAGGAGGAACACCGGUGGCGAAGGCGGCUUACUGGACUGUAACUGACGUUGAGGCGCGAAAGCGUGGGGAGCAAACAGGAUUAGAUACCCUUGUAAUC